AUACGUAGGGGGCAAGCGUUGUCCGGAUUCAUUGGGCGUAAAGGGUGCGUAGGCGGCGCGGUAAGUCGGGUGUGAAAUCUCGGGGCUUAACUCCGAAACUGCAUUCGAUACUGCCGUGCUUGAGGACUGGAGAGGAGACUGGAAUUUACGGUGUAGCGGUGAAAUGCGUAGAUAUCGUAAGGAAGACCAGUGGCGAAGGCGGGUCUCUGGACAGUUCCUGACGCUGAGGCACGAAGGUCAGGGGAGCAAACG
RNAcentral lists this ribosomal RNA (252 nucleotides) under uncultured prokaryote. RNAcentral describes it as "partial 16S ribosomal RNA". It matches the Rfam family "Bacterial small subunit ribosomal RNA", at positions 523 to 774 of the family's 1533-position model. The record is from RNAcentral.